GACGAACGCUGGCGGCGUGCUUGACACAUGCAAGUCGAACGAGACGAUUGGAAGCUUGCUUUCGAAAGUCGAGUGGCAAACGGGUGAGUAACGCGUAGACAACCUGCCUUUGAGAUGGGGACAACAGUUCGAAAGGACUGCUAAUACCGAAUGUUGUAUAUUUUCCACAUGGAAGAUAUAUUAAAGAUGGCCUCUAUUUAUAAGCUAUCGCUCAAAGAUGGGUCUGCGUCUGAUUAGCUGGUUGGUGGGGUAACGGCCUACCAAGGCGACGAUCAGUAGCCGGUCUGAGAGGAUGAACGGCCACAUUGGGACUGAGACACGGCCCAGACUCCUACGGGAGGCAGCAGUGGGGAAUCUUCCACAAUGGACGAAAGUCUGAUGGAGCAACGCCGCGUGAGUGAAGAAGGGUUUCGGCUCGUAAAGCUCUGUUGUCGGGGACGAAUGUGCAGUAUUUGAAUAAAGUACUGUAAUGACGGUACCUGACGAGGAAGCCACGGCUAACUACGUGCCAGCCGCCGCGGUAA
This 524-nucleotide ribosomal RNA is filed under the name uncultured bacterium. RNAcentral describes it as "partial 16S ribosomal RNA". It matches the Rfam family "Bacterial small subunit ribosomal RNA", at positions 28 to 523 of the family's 1533-position model. The record is from RNAcentral.